CGUCUAGAGCAGCGUUGGCACAUCCUAGAUGCUCUGAAGGCUCUCUUGGAUGGAUGAGGAGCCCGGGAGGAAGUUACACCCCCCGCUGCUGCAGGCUUCUCUUUCUGCUCACCUCGUUCUUUUCCAUCUCCCUCCUGCAGCUCAGCCUCACUCCCUAUUGGCUCCUCCCCACAGCCCAUAAAGGAGCUCAAGUCUCCCUCAGAUCAUGUGCCUCAUUCUGCCCCCAUACCCAUUCUCCUUCUGUCUGCCUCCUAAACUUCGGCGCUCCUUGGGAUACCAUCCUCAGCUCUUUCUCUUCUUGCUUCCCAUGCUCCCGAGGGAUUGCCUAUGACCCACAUGCCGAGGAUGCGCAAAGGCUGCCUUCCCAACUCCAGACUCAUCCCUGCUUCUCAGACAGCUCCGCCCGGCUGCUUCACCACAGACUACGGGAAGUGACAAAACAACCCCAGAGUCUCACCUUUGGGGCGUCUAUUUCCUGAGACCAUCCUGGGUAAUGACUACCUGCUCCUGCUCCAGGCCAGCAAAGUGGGGUCCUUCUGGACUCCGUCUUCCCUCACAUCCCACAGCCAAUCAAUUCAGCUGCCUAACUG
This 590-nucleotide long non-coding RNA is filed under the name Equus caballus (horse). RNAcentral's name for it is "lncRNA (ENSECAG00000059968.1)". Lineage: Eukaryota; Metazoa; Chordata; Mammalia; Perissodactyla; Equidae. The record is from RNAcentral.